This 253-nucleotide ribosomal RNA is filed under the name uncultured bacterium. RNAcentral describes it as "partial 16S ribosomal RNA". It matches the Rfam family "Bacterial small subunit ribosomal RNA", at positions 524 to 776 of the family's 1533-position model. The record is from RNAcentral.
UACGGGGGGGGCAAGCGUUGUUCGGAAUUACUGGGCGUAAAGGGCUCGUAGGCGGCCAACUAAGUCGGAUGUGAAAUCCCCAGGCUCAACUUGGGAACUGCAUCCGAUACUGGAUGGCUUGAAUUCGGGAGAGGGAUGCAGAAUUCCAGGUGUAGCGGUGAAAUGCGUAGAUAUCUGGAGGAAUACCGGUGGCGAAGGCGGCAUCCUGGACCGACAUUGACGCUGAGGAGCGAAGGCUAGGGGAGCAAACGGG